AGCUGUAAGAGAUUCACUUAGA
Molecule: microRNA, 22 nt
Filed under: Heliconius melpomene (postman butterfly)
Lineage: Eukaryota; Metazoa; Arthropoda; Insecta; Lepidoptera; Nymphalidae
Description: Hme-Mir-2767_3p* (star (passenger))
Source: RNAcentral